CCCUUAGAUGUUCUGGGCCGCACGCGCGCUACAAUGAUGCAGGCAACGAGUGCCGCUCCUUAGCCGAAAGGCUUGGGGAAUCUUGAAAACUGCAUCGUGCUAGGGAUAGAUGAUCGCAAUCGUGCAUCUUGAACGAGGAAUGCCUUGUAAGCGUGAGUCAUCAACUCGCGCUGAAUACGUCCCUGCCCUUUGUACACACCGCCCGUCGCUCCUACCGAUUGGAUGGUCCGGUGAACUGGUCGGACUGCUGUUUGAAAUUGCGGGUGCAGUUGAUUCACGGGAAGUCUAGUAAACCUUAUCAUCUAGAGGAAGGAGAAGUCGUAACA
This 326-nucleotide ribosomal RNA is filed under the name uncultured eukaryote. RNAcentral describes it as "partial 18S ribosomal RNA". It matches the Rfam family "Eukaryotic small subunit ribosomal RNA", at positions 1470 to 1796 of the family's 1831-position model. The record is from RNAcentral.